GAUGAACGCUGGCGGCGUGCUUAACACAUGCAAGUCGAGCGAAGCACUUAAGUCUGAUUCUUCGGAUGAAGACUUUUGUGACUGAGCGGCGGACGGGUGAGUAGUGCGUGGGUAACCUGCCUCAUACAGGGGGAUAACAGUUAGAAAUGACUGCUAAUACCGCAUAAGACCACGGUGCCGCAUGGUACAGUGGUAAAAACUCCGGUGGUAUGAGAUGGACCCGCGUCUGAUUAGGUAGUUGGUGGGGUAACGGCCUACCAAGCCGACGAUCAGUAGCCGACCUGAGAGGGUGACCGGCCACAUUGGGACUGAGACACGGCCCAGACUCCUACGGGAGGCGGCAGUGGGGAAUAUUGCACAAUGGAGGAAACUCUGAUGCAGCGACGCCGCGUGAAGGAUGAAGUAUUUCGGUAUGUAAACUUCUAUCAGCAGGGAAGAAAAUGACGGUACCUGACUAAGAAGCCCCGGCUAACUACGUGCCAGCAGCCGCCGUAA
This 495-nucleotide ribosomal RNA is filed under the name uncultured bacterium. RNAcentral describes it as "partial 16S ribosomal RNA". It matches the Rfam family "Bacterial small subunit ribosomal RNA", at positions 28 to 523 of the family's 1533-position model. The record is from RNAcentral.